UAAAAAAAUAGUAAGAGCAUAUGGUGAAUGCCUUGGAAAAUGGAGCCGAAGAAGGACGUGACUACCUGCGAUAAGUCUGGGGGAGCUGGAAGUGAGCUUCGAUCCCGGAAUUUCCGAAUGGGGAAACCUGACAUGAUUUAUCUCAUGUUAUCUAUAAGUAAAUACAUAGCUUAUAAGAAGGGAACCUAGGGAACUGAAACAUCUUAGUACCUAGAGGAAAAGAAAAUAAUAAUGAUUCUGUUAGUAGCGGCGAGCGAAAACGGAACAGGCCAAACCACUUUACGGAGUGGGGUUGUAGGACUUUUGUUCGAGUUAGAAAGUCAUUAUAUAAUAGAAGCUACUGGGAAGUAGCGCCAUAGAGGGUGAUAGCCCCGUAUAUGAAAUGUAAUGACCUCAAAAAAGUAUCCUGAGUACGGCGAAACACGUGAAAUUUUGUCGGAAUCUGCCAAGACCACUUGGUAAGCCUAAAUACUACCAUUUUACCGAUAGUGAACCAGUACCGUGAGGGAAAGGUGAAAAGCACCCCGAAAGGGGAGUGAAAUAGUCCCUGAAACCAUAUGCUUACAAGAAGGUAGAGCCCGUUAAUGGGUAAUACCGUGCUUUUUGUAGAAAGAGCCGGCGAGUUACUAUUGCAUGCAAGGUUAAGUUGAUAUAAACGGAGCCGAAGUGAAAGCGAGCCUUAAUAGGGCGUUUAGUAUGCAGUAGUAGACACGAAACCAGGUGAUCUAGCCAUGAGCAGGUUGAAGUUAGGGUAAAACCUAAUGGAGGACCGAACCAGUAUUCGUUGAAAAGACUUUGGAUGACUUGUGGCUAGCGGUGAAAUUCCAAUCGAACCUGGAGAUAGCUAGUUCUCCCCGAUAUAUCUUUAAGGAUAGCGUUGUGUGAAUUGUUGUGGAGGUAGAGCACUGAAUCUAUGAUGGCUGCACCUAGCGGUACUGAUUAGAAUUAAACUCCGAAUGCCAUAAUUUGUGCACAGCAGUCAGAACAUGGGUGAUAAGGUUCAUGCUCGUGAGGGAAACAGCCCAGAUCGUCAGCUAAGGUCCCUAAGUGUAAACUAAGUGUGUAAGGAUGUGGAACUGCACAGACAGCUAGGAUGUUGGCUUAGAAGCAGCCAUCAUUUAAAGAGUGCGUAACAGCUCACUAGUCGAGUGAUUCUGCGCCGAAAAUGUACCGGGGCUUAAGUUUACCACCGAAGCUACGGAUUGUAUGUAAAUACAGUGGUAGGGGAGCGUUCUAAAUAUGAUGAAGUCAGACUGUGAAGACUGGUGGAGUGUUUAGAAGUGAUUAUGCCGGCAUGAGUAACGUUUGGAAGUGAGAAUCUUCCAUGCCGUUUGACCAAGGUUUCCUGGGCAAGGUUCGUCCACCCAGGGUUAGUCAGGAUCUAAGGCGAGGCUGAAAAGCGUAGUCGAUGGACAACAGGUUGAUAUUCCUGUACCAGUUAAUUAGUGAUGGAGUGACGAAGAAGGAUAGUAUAUCCCGGGUGCUGGAUGUCCCGGGCUAAGCACAAA
Molecule: ribosomal RNA, 1508 nt
Filed under: Mycoplasma mycoides
Lineage: Bacteria; Bacillati; Mycoplasmatota; Mollicutes; Mycoplasmatales; Mycoplasmataceae
Description: partial 23S ribosomal RNA
Rfam family: Bacterial large subunit ribosomal RNA
Source: RNAcentral